CCACCGUUGGAAUCAUUUACUCCAAGAUGUGAAAAUCUGCAUUUUUGCGUUUGCAUCCAAAACUCACCUGUGAUACUGCCGCUUCAGAAUUUCCAGACCUUGAGUGGUCCCUCAUCUCAUUGUUGAAAACACUGAGAGGCACAGCAAAGGGAAAGGACUGGUUCAUGACACCAAAUUGGUAUGAAUGAAAGCUGAUCUCUAGCAUCCUCUUUCAUUUUUGGGGGACAAGAUGGCUGCUGUGAUCUGUGAACAUGCUCUUGGUAAGUCUCUUUAUACAUAACCAAUAUAAAAUAAAAUUAAAUAUUUUACUGGCAUUGGCAUUAAU
This 325-nucleotide long non-coding RNA is filed under the name Callithrix jacchus (white-tufted-ear marmoset). RNAcentral describes it as "lncRNA (ENSCJAG00000076424.1)". Lineage: Eukaryota; Metazoa; Chordata; Mammalia; Primates; Cebidae. The record is from RNAcentral.